RNAcentral lists this ribosomal RNA (567 nucleotides) under Alternaria passiflorae. RNAcentral's name for it is "bacterial SSU rRNA". It matches the Rfam family "Eukaryotic small subunit ribosomal RNA", at positions 1266 to 1831 of the family's 1831-position model. The record is from RNAcentral. Lineage: Eukaryota; Fungi; Ascomycota; Dothideomycetes; Pleosporales; Pleosporaceae.
CGUUUCAGGUGGUGGUGCAUGGCCGUUCUUAGUUCGUGGGGUGACUUGUCUGCUUAAUUGCGAUAACGAGCGAGACCUUACUCUGCUAAAUAGCAGAGGCUAGCUUUGGCUGGUCGCCGGCUUCUUAGAGAGACUAUCAACUCAAGUUGAUGGAAGUUUGAGGCAAUAACAGGUCUGUGAUGCCCUUAGAUGUUCUGGGCCGCACGCGCGCUACACUGACAGAGCCAACGAGUUCUUUUCCUUGUUCGAAAGAAUUGGGUAAUCUUGUUAAACUCUGUCGUGCUGGGGAUAAAGCAUUGCAAUUAUUGCUUUUCAACGAGGAAUGCCUAGUAAGCGCGUGUCAUCAGCAUGCGUUGAUUACGUCCCUGACCUUUGUACACACCGCCCGUCGCUACUACCGAUUGAAUGGCUCAGUGAGGCCUUCGGACUGGCUCGAGGAGGUUGGCAACGACCACCUCAAGCCGGAAAGUUGGUCAAACUCGGUCAUUUAGAGGAAGUAAAAGUCGUAACAAGGUCUCCGUAGGUGAACCUGCGGAGGGAUCAUUACACAAAUAUGAAGGCGGGCUG